Molecule: ribosomal RNA, 346 nt
Filed under: Pratylenchus penetrans
Lineage: Eukaryota; Metazoa; Nematoda; Chromadorea; Rhabditida; Pratylenchidae
Description: partial large subunit ribosomal RNA
Rfam family: Eukaryotic large subunit ribosomal RNA
Source: RNAcentral
UGACCCGUCUUGAAACACGGACCAAGGAGUUUAUCGUGUGCGCAAGUCAUUGGGUGUUGAAAACUCAAAGGCGCAAUGAAAGUAAAGAAUCCGCAAGGAUACGACGUGUGAUCUGAGCAAUCACGAUUGCCUGGAGCAACAUGGCCCCAUUCUGGUCGCUUGCGACGGGGUGGAGGAAGAGCGUACGCGGUGAGACCCGAAAGAUGGUGAACUAUUCCUGAGCAGGAUGAAGCCAGAGGAAACUCUGGUGGAAGUCCGAAGCGAUUCUGACGUGCAAAUCGAUCGUCUGACUUGGGUAUAGGGGCGAAAGACUAAUCGAACCAUCUAGUAGCUGGUUCCUUCCGAA